Molecule: ribosomal RNA, 601 nt
Filed under: uncultured bacterium
Lineage: Bacteria
Description: bacterial SSU rRNA
Rfam family: Bacterial small subunit ribosomal RNA
Source: RNAcentral
GUCCUUAACUGACGCUAAUGCUCGAAAGUGCGGGUAUCGAACAGGAUUAGAUACCCUGGUAGUCCGCACGGUAAACGAUGGGUGCCCGCUGUUGGCGAUACACUGUCAGCGGCCAAGCGAAAGCGUUAAGCAUCCCACCUGGGGAGUACGCCGGCAACGGUGAAACUCAAAGGAAUUGACGGGGGCCCGCACAAGCGGAGGAACAUGUGGUUUAAUUCGAUGAUACGCGAGGAACCUUACCCGGGCUUGAACUGCAGGAGAACGAUUCAGAGAUGAUGAGGUCCUUCGGGACUCCUGUGGAGGUGCUGCAUGGUUGUCGUCAGCUCGUGCCGUGAGGUGUCGGCUUAAGUGCCAUAACGAGCGCAACCCCUUUCUUCAGUUGCCAUCAGGUUAUGCUGGGCACUCUGGAGACACUGCCACCGUAAGGUGUGAGGAAGGUGGGGAUGACGUCAAAUCAGCACGGCCCUUACGUCCGGGGCUACACACGUGUUACAAUGGGUGGUACAGAGAGCGGGCUGCCUGCAAAGUCAGCCGAAUCAUGAAAGCCAUCCUCAGUUCGGAUUGGGGUCUGCAACCCGACCCCAUGAAGCUGGAUUCGCUA